RNAcentral lists this ribosomal RNA (448 nucleotides) under uncultured bacterium. RNAcentral describes it as "SSU rRNA". It matches the Rfam family "Bacterial small subunit ribosomal RNA", at positions 26 to 518 of the family's 1533-position model. The record is from RNAcentral.
AGAACGAACGCUGGCGGCAGGCUUAACACAUGCAAGUCGAACGCGUGUAGCAAUACACGAGUGGCGCACGGGUGAGUAACGCGUGGAUAUCUGCCUUUUGGUUCGGAAUAACCCCGGGAAACUGGGGCUAAUACCGGAUGGUUCCUACGGGAUAAAGAUUUAUCGCCAAAAGAUGAGUCCGCGUCCGAUUAGCUAGUUGGUGGGGUAAUGGCCUACCAAGGCGACGAUCGGUAGCUGGUCUGAGAGGACGAUCAGCCACACUGGGACUGAGACACGGCCCAGACUCCUACGGGAGGCAGCAGUGGGGAAUAUUGGACAAUGGGCGCAAGCCUGAUCCAGCAAUGCCGCGUGAGUGAAGAAGGUCUUCGGAUUGUAAAGCUCUUUCGACGGGGACGAUGAUGACGGUACCCGUAGAAGAAGCCCCGGCUAACUUCGUGCCAGCAGCCGC